This is a long non-coding RNA of Cyprinodon variegatus (sheepshead minnow), 984 nucleotides long. RefSeq lists it as uncharacterized. Lineage: Eukaryota; Metazoa; Chordata; Actinopteri; Cyprinodontiformes; Cyprinodontidae. The record is from RefSeq and is a predicted model, not a curated record. The transcript has 3 exons.
ACCUGUGGCUAGCGGUCUACCUGUGGCUAGCGGUCUACCUGUGGCCAGUGGUCUACCUGUGGCUAGUGGUCUACCUGUGGCCAGUGGUCUACCUGUGGCUAGCGGUCUACCUGUGGCCAGUGGUCUACCUGUGGCUAGUGGUCUACCUGUGGCUAGUGGUCUACCUGUGGCUAGUGGUCUACCUGUGGCCAGUGGUCUACCUAUGGCUAGUGGUCUACCUGUGGCCAGUGGUCUACCUGUGGCUAGCGGUCUACCUGUGGCUAGUGGUCUACCUGUGGCUAGCGGUCUACCUGUGGCUAGCGGUCUACCUGUGGCCAGUGGUCUACCUGUGGCUGCUGUUCCGUUCAGUAACUUCUGUUUUCUGUGUUUCUUUCCUUUUUAGAAGAACAUUUCUCGCCUCAGUCUGGAACAGAGUCUGGAGCUGCAGUCCAAGAUUGAAGCUUCUGUCCUUGUUGUUCUAGCAGAAGGUGGAUUUGAGAAAAUAUUUACAGACGGUGACAAGAAGAAAUUUACAUCGACUCUUCUUCAGGCCUACAGGGAUAGAAAUAACACGGUGGUGAAGGUUCCAGGCGAUCAUCACGUCCACCUAAACAAUCCUGAAGUGGUGGCGCCGCUGGUGUCCGAGUUCCUGCAGAACAAAGCGCUCUCGCCGUCAGCAGGAUCCGCAGACGUCACUUCCCCCAAGUUAUAGUGAAGAUGCCAGAAAACCAAGCGUGUCUUCUUGCUAACUAAUGUGCAUUAAUGCAGCUUGGUGCCUAAAAUCAUCCAGUUGAUUUGCAUAAAACAUGAUUUGAUGUUCCUGAACUAAAAGUGCCGAAAGCUUCUGCUUUAUGAACAAACUCAAAGAUCAGAUCAGCGUCUGAGAAAAACAUCAUUAACUCUGAAAUCUAAUCAAGUUAAGCUGCUAUUUUCCCUUUUAUGGGAUUUUUAAUGUUAAAGAAUCUUUUCUAGUUUUGGAGUCAUAAGAAAUAAAUAAUAAAUGAA